Cebus imitator (Panamanian white-faced capuchin) is the source of this 655-nucleotide long non-coding RNA. RefSeq lists it as uncharacterized. The transcript is spliced from 4 exons. The record is from RefSeq and is a predicted model, not a curated record. Lineage: Eukaryota; Metazoa; Chordata; Mammalia; Primates; Cebidae.
UGGCGCGCGCGGCCGUCCCUCGCUCCGCCCACAACCCGCCCCUCGCGAGGCUCGCUGGGAAUUGUAGUCCGUGACCGCCGCCUCUGGGGCCAGUAGGCCAAGUAGGCUCUGAUGAGGUGACCCCAAAACUAAGUCAAGCAGUGGGAGUCCAGAGAUGUUUGGAGGAAGUGCGGCUUUUGGGGUGCUGCAUAGCCUCUCCUAUCCUAACUAUGGGCAAGGACAGAAUCUCUAACCUUGAAAAUAGCAGAAGAUUGGCGACCCUAAAGAGACCUGAGGUUGAAAUGAGUAGGAUUUGGAAUGUAUGAACUUCAUGACCAGGGACUACAGAGAAAGCAUAGACUCAGCAGUAAUACCAGUCUCAUGAUGGCAAUAAAAAGUCUAGCUGUGACCCUCUUCUGAUUGCAGCAUAAUAUGAAUCCUGCUCCAAAUCUGAAGUACUGUAGAGAGGAUCCUAGCCAACAACCUUCAAAGUCAAAGAGUAAAGUGAAUAAAAUAUGCUCAGCUGGAAAAUAGAGCUAUUUGGAUUUGGGAGCAUUAAGCAAGAGAGGUGAAAAGUAAAGACAAUACUGGAAGCAAAUGGCUGACUACUGAGACAAGAAUUCAAGACAACUCUGAUUGGAUUCCACACACAAGUAUUUGUCUUUCUCUGGCUGGA